Molecule: long non-coding RNA, 338 nt
Organism: Gopherus evgoodei (Goodes thornscrub tortoise)
Lineage: Eukaryota; Metazoa; Chordata; Testudines; Testudinidae
Exons: 4
Source: RefSeq, a predicted model, not a curated record
AUUCUUCUCAGCAGUGCUGCUGCCAAGCCAGUUCUUCAGUCAUUGGGGUGGCUUUCAACUUCCUGGUUACAGACAACAAAACAGAGCGACUCUGAUCAAGGGUAGCGUUAACAUCACCCUUUGAAGGAAAAAAAUAGAGAUUGUGAUUUCUAACAAGGAAGCUUUGGAAAAACACUGAUGAUCCCCAAUCUUUUUUGGUGAUUCAGGGAGAUAUACUGCACGCUAGCAGAAUCACUAUCACUGCUAUUAUCCUGACCUGCAUACUCUGAAAUCAACUGUAUAUGACUCCUUUAACCAUUUAAUAACCCUCUUAUUUUCUAUUAAUAAAUCUUUAGUUC